Molecule: long non-coding RNA, 109 nt
Organism: Aricia agestis (brown argus)
Lineage: Eukaryota; Metazoa; Arthropoda; Insecta; Lepidoptera; Lycaenidae
Exons: 3
Source: RefSeq, a predicted model, not a curated record
UUUAGCCUCAAUUUCACUAACGUCUGUUAGUAAUAACAACUUGUUAAAAUGUUAUGUCUUCUCUUUCAUUCAUAAGAAAAACGAAAGAGAUAAUAGCGUGAUAAUACUU